Molecule: ribosomal RNA, 468 nt
Filed under: uncultured bacterium
Lineage: Bacteria
Description: partial 16S ribosomal RNA
Rfam family: Bacterial small subunit ribosomal RNA
Source: RNAcentral
GACGAACGCUGGCGGCGGGCUUAACACAUGCAAGUCGAACGGAAAGGCCCUGCUUUUUUGGGGUGCUCGAGUGGCGAACGGGUGAGUAACACGGGAGUAACCUGCCCUGUACUUGGGGAUAUCUUGAGGAAACUGGUGCUAAUGCCGGAUAGGAGCUGCUGCUGCAUGGUGGGGGUUGGAAAGUUUCGGCGGGUGGGGAUGGACUCGCGGCUUAUCAGCUUGUUGGUCGGGUAGUUGCUUACCAAGGGUUUGACGGGUAGCCUGCCUGAGAGGGUGGACGGGGACCAGACGCCUACGAGAGGGAGCAGUCGCGUAUAGGAGACAACAGUCGGAAGCCUGGCACAGCCGGCGCAAGUGUGAUGAAGAGAUCCCGCGUGUGGAAUGCAGGCCUUGUGGUUGGAAACCGCUGUAGGCUGUGACCAAGCGUGAGUGACGUUAACGGGAAAAGAAGCACCGGCUAACUACGUG